AAUGAACGCUGGCGGCAUGCCUAACACAUGCAAGUCGAACGACAGCACCGUAAGAGCUUGCUCAUGCGGGUGGCGCGUGGCGGACGCGUCACGCGUGCAUCGCAUACCUCUCUUACGGGGGUGAUAACGUCGGAAAACUUCCGAUAACACAACAUAUAUCGUACGGGUGUGAGCAGGCGUUCUAUGCGCUUUUCGCGAAGGUAAGAGCUGAUGUCGGAUUAGCUAGUUUGCUGGGUAAAGGCACAGCAAGGCGACGCUCCGUAGCAGGUCCGACAGGAUGAUCAGCCACACUGGAAGUGAGACACGGCCCAGACUCCGACGGGAGGCAGCAGUGGGGAAUAUUGGGCAAUGGGCGAAAGCCUGAUCCAGCAAUACCGCGUGAGUGAUGAAGGACCUCGGGUUGGAAAGCCCUGUUGUUGGGAAAGAAAAGAAGCUCUUUUACCCGGGGCGAUUCUGACGGUACCGAAAGAAUAAGCACCGGCUAACUCCGUG
This 492-nucleotide ribosomal RNA is filed under the name uncultured bacterium. Its description in RNAcentral is "partial 16S ribosomal RNA". It matches the Rfam family "Bacterial small subunit ribosomal RNA", at positions 29 to 507 of the family's 1533-position model. The record is from RNAcentral.